UUUAACAGGCUCACAUUAAGUUUCAUUUCUGAUUUUCAUUCAUUGGAGUCACUUAGCAUUCUUCAGAUGGGAUCUCCAUAGUACAGAUGAACAUAUAUCAGAAAGAUCCUCUGUGGAGAAUUCUCAAGCAAUUGCAGUAUAACUAGGUGAUGGCUGGACUCAGGCGUACUGAGAAAAAUGAUGAGAUGUGGAAAGACCACCACAAAUGGAACAGAGAAAGCUGCCCAACUAUGAAGUUAAACAGCAGUUUGUAAAGAGGAACUAAUGAUAAUGGAUGGUUGUGAUCAUCCCUGGUAUUAAUUCAAGUGAAAUCAAAACAGUUUCAGCCUGGAUUAAUACGGAUCAUAAAAGCCUUUGCAAAGAGGAGCCCUCUAUGCAAUGCACCGCCUCCUGUGCUCUCUCCCACUCUGUAAGUCCGGACUUCAGGCAUAGCCACCUGACAGAUCAGGCUGUAAGCUCACGUCGAUCAGGCUGAUCAUUUGUGAUCUAUCGCAUCUGGCAUGUGGGGUCUUGGAGUACAAGAGAAAAUGUGCAGAAAAUGCAUGAAAAGUAUGAGAGAGAGCAGGAGGUAGGAGCCAACGGAAUCACAUACACGGUGUGAGACACUACAGAGAACCUGCCUGCCUUUCCUGCCAGUGCUGCAUAUGCACAAAAUGGGUUUGCACUAUGCGUCCUGAUAAGUAUCGCUGCUGUAUUGCAGAGAAGCCUAUGGCUACAUUCAUGGACAAUUAAAGUCAAGAGGGUGAGAUUUCACAUCUUCCUUUCCCUUGUGCCUCAUAUUGCAAAUUUAGAGAUUAUUCACAAAUACUUCAUAUAUUGCCACAGGCACAUAGUAUUCAAGUUUUAAUAAAAAAAUCCACUUGCAUAUUCUCCCUUUAGAU
Molecule: long non-coding RNA, 881 nt
Filed under: Struthio camelus australis
Lineage: Eukaryota; Metazoa; Chordata; Aves; Struthioniformes; Struthionidae
Description: lncRNA (ENSSCUG00000010734.1)
Source: RNAcentral